RNAcentral lists this ribosomal RNA (434 nucleotides) under Crepidodera aurata. RNAcentral's name for it is "partial 16S large subunit ribosomal RNA". The record is from RNAcentral. Lineage: Eukaryota; Metazoa; Arthropoda; Insecta; Coleoptera; Chrysomelidae.
GUCCUUUUGUUAAUAAUUUAAGGUCUAGCCUGCCCACUGAGUAUUUAAAUGGCCGCAGUAUUUUGACUGUGCUAAGGUAGCAUAAUCAUUAGUUUUUUAAUUGAAAGCUAGUAUGAAAGGUUGAAUGAAAAAAUUUCUGUCUCUGAUUAAUUUUAUUAGAAUUUUAUUUUUAAGUUAAAAAGCUUAAAUUUUUUUAAAAGACGAGAAGACCCUAUAGAGUUUAAUAUAAUAUAAAAUUUUUUAUUUUUGGAAUUUAAUUUAAAAAAUAAAAUUUAUAUUUAAUUGGGGUGAUUAAAAAAUUUAAUUAACUUUUUUUUUAUUAAUAUAUUAAUUUAUAAAUUUAUGAUCCAAUUUUUUUGAUUAUAAGAAUAAAUUACCUUAGGGAUAACAGCGUAAUUUUAUUAUAGAGUUCUAAUCGAAAAUAAAGUUUGCGA